RNAcentral lists this ribosomal RNA (537 nucleotides) under uncultured bacterium. RNAcentral describes it as "bacterial SSU rRNA". It matches the Rfam family "Bacterial small subunit ribosomal RNA", at positions 10 to 518 of the family's 1533-position model. The record is from RNAcentral.
AGUUUGAUCCUGGCUUAGGACGAACGCUGGCGGCGUGCCUAAUACAUGCAAGUCGAACGGUCUUUUCUAUGGAAGCUUGCUUCCACUGAGAAGAUAGUGGCGAACGGGUGAGUAACACGUGGGUAACCUGCCCAUAAGAGGGGGGAUAACAUCCGGAAACGGGUGCUAAUACCGCAUAGUUUUCUUGGUCGCAUGAUCGGGAAAGGAAAGACGGCCUUUGUGCUGUCGCUUAUGGAUGGACCCGCGGCGUAUUAGUUAGUUGGUGAGGUAACGGCUCACCAAGACGAUGAUACGUAGCCGACCUGAGAGGGUGAUCGGCCACAUUGGGACUGAGACACGGCCCAAACUCCUACGGGAGGCAGCAGUAGGGAAUCUUCCGCAAUGGACGAAAGUCUGACGGAGCAACGCCGCGUGAGUGAAAGAAGGUUUUCGGAUCGUAAAACUCUGUUGUCAGAGAAGAACAAGUUGGAGAGUAACUGCUCCAGCCUUGACGGUAUCUGACCAGAAAGCCACGGCUAACUACGUGCCAGCCGCGGC